This is a non-coding RNA of Camellia sinensis, 767 nucleotides long. Lineage: Eukaryota; Viridiplantae; Streptophyta; Magnoliopsida; Ericales; Theaceae. The record is from RefSeq and is a predicted model, not a curated record.
AACCAUCGGCUGGAGCAAAGAAAUUUGUUGAGAAGAACGUGGGUUCUCAGGCCAUAGAUGAACCAGACACCUUGGACCCAACACUUCUACGCCCUUUUUUGAGUUUGAAUUCCUCUAAAAGAAGCUUGUUUUUCAGAAGUUCUACCAUAUGAUCAUUUGAAGACAAAUGGGGAUCAUGGUCAAUAAUGUAUGUUGAAUGUGCCAGAAGAUGACUGCAUUAUGGACUGUUGGGGUUAUUUGUGUUGACAAUAAAGGACAUAUAGCAUUUGGAGCUUCAAGUCGUGGCAUUGCACUGAAGGUCGCUGGCUGGUUCGGGCUCUGCUUCCAUGAAAGUUUUACGCUCUGUUAUGUAAGAUACUAGCCAACACGGUACUGAUAAAACUGCCGGAACUCUAGUUCAUCAAGCCGAGGCUCGUAUAUCACUUCCUGGGACUUCACCUAAGCUGAAAGCUAUAGAGAUUGCAGCAGCCUACAAUUCCCUGUCUGUUGGAAUGGGUUAUUUUGGAAGCUCUAUGGAGCGGCCUAAGGUCUCAAUUCUUAGGACUACAAAACAGCAAAAUAGGACCGACAUUGACCAGUUUGCCGCAUGAAUUGAUGUUGGUGGAAGUAAAGGAUAAAAUAUUGUGUGCACUAAGAUGUUGAUAAGAAAUUUAAAAUUUGGAAGUAAAUCAAACUGAUUUAUUUAUUUUCUUCUUUCAAGUGACUCAUCAUGUUUCAAAUGGUUAUAAAGGCAAACCUAAAACCUGAAAGGUGUUCAUUUUUGCUCA